This 942-nucleotide ribosomal RNA is filed under the name Bacillus altitudinis. RNAcentral's name for it is "bacterial SSU rRNA". It matches the Rfam family "Bacterial small subunit ribosomal RNA", at positions 109 to 1035 of the family's 1533-position model. Lineage: Bacteria; Bacillati; Bacillota; Bacilli; Caryophanales; Bacillaceae. The record is from RNAcentral.
AGUAACACGUGGGUAACCUGCCUGUAAGACUGGGAUAACUCCGGGAAACCGGAGCUAAUACCGGAUAGUUCCUUGAACCGCAUGGUUCAAGGAUGAAAGACGGUUUCGGCUGUCACUUACAGAUGGACCCGCGGCGCAUUAGCUAGUUGGUGAGGUAACGGCUCACCAAGGCGACGAUGCGUAGCCGACCUGAGAGGGUGAUCGGCCACACUGGGACUGAGACACGGCCCAGACUCCUACGGGAGGCAGCAGUAGGGAAUCUUCCGCAAUGGACGAAAGUCUGACGGAGCAACGCCGCGUGAGUGAUGAAGGUUUUCGGAUCGUAAAGCUCUGUUGUUAGGGAAGAACAAGUGCAAGAGUAACUGCUUGCACCUUGACGGUACCUAACCAGAAAGCCACGGCUAACUACGUGCCAGCAGCCGCGGUAAUACGUAGGUGGCAAGCGUUGUCCGGAAUUAUUGGGCGUAAAGGGCUCGCAGGCGGUUUCUUAAGUCUGAUGUGAAAGCCCCCGGCUCAACCGGGGAGGGUCAUUGGAAACUGGGAAACUUGAGUGCAGAAGAGGAGAGUGGAAUUCCACGUGUAGCGGUGAAAUGCGUAGAGAUGUGGAGGAACACCAGUGGCGAAGGCGACUCUCUGGUCUGUAACUGACGCUGAGGAGCGAAAGCGUGGGGAGCGAACAGGAUUAGAUACCCUGGUAGUCCACGCCGUAAACGAUGAGUGCUAAGUGUUAGGGGGUUUCCGCCCCUUAGUGCUGCAGCUAACGCAUUAAGCACUCCGCCUGGGGAGUACGGUCGCAAGACUGAAACUCAAAGGAAUUGACGGGGGCCCGCACAAGCGGUGGAGCAUGUGGGUUUAAUUUCGAAGCAACGCGAGAACCUUACCAGGUCUUGACAUCCUCUGACAACCCUAGAGAUAGGGCUUUCCCUUCGGGGACAGAGUGAC